ACUCCUGCGGGAGGCAGCAGUGGGGAAUAUUGCACAAUGGGCGCAAGCCUGAUGCAGCCAUGCCGCGUGUAUGAAGAAGGCCUUCGGGUUGUAAAGUACUUUCAGCGGGGAGGAAGGCGAUAAGGUUAAUAACCUUGUCGAUUGACGUUACCCGCAGAAGAAGCACCGGCUAACUCCGUGCCAGCAGCCGCGGUAAUACGGAGGGUGCAAGCGUUAAUCGGAAUUACUGGGCGUAAAGCGCACGCAGGCGGUCUGUCAAGUCGGAUGUGAAAUCCCCAGGCUCAACCUGGGAACUGCAUUCGAAACUGGCAGGCUAGAGUCUUGUAGAGGGGGGUAGAAUUCCAGGUGUAGCGGUGAAAUGCGUAGAGAUCUGGAGGAAUACCGGUGGCGAAGGCGGCCCCCUGGACAAAGACUGACGCUCAGGUGCGAAAGCGUGGGGAGCAAACAGGAUUAGAAACCCGUGUAGUCCCAUGAU
Molecule: ribosomal RNA, 475 nt
Filed under: uncultured organism
Description: partial 16S ribosomal RNA
Rfam family: Bacterial small subunit ribosomal RNA
Source: RNAcentral